RNAcentral lists this long non-coding RNA (238 nucleotides) under Lathyrus oleraceus (garden pea). Its description in RNAcentral is "Pisum sativum (pea) long non-coding RNA (PSAT_LNC028674)". The record is from RNAcentral. Lineage: Eukaryota; Viridiplantae; Streptophyta; Magnoliopsida; Fabales; Fabaceae.
AAAUCCGGAGAAACUAAAAAUCCAAAGGAGUAAUACACUCACUAGGGAGACAAAGACUCUGGGGGAGUAAAGGGUGAAAAUGCGUGAGCAGGUCACGACUUGAGACUUGCUGAGAGACACGGAGAGAAUCCAUGAAAUGAAUCAAUGGAAGAACUCAAGCUGACUCGAAGAUGCAUGUAUUAGGGAAUAUGCCAAUACAUCCAAAAAUUAUCCGCGACGGAUACUUCGGAUAAAAAUC